CCUACGGGUGGCUGCAGUGAGGAAUAUUGGUCAAUGGUCGGGAGACUGAACCAGCCAAGCCGCGUGAGGGAUGAAGGUACAGAGUAUCGUAAACCGCUUUUGCCAGGGAACAAAGGCGGGGACGUGUCCCCGGAUGAGUGUACCUGAAGAAUAAGCAUCGGCUAACUCCGUGCCAGCAGCCGCGGUAAUACGGAGGAUGCGAGCGUUAUCCGGAUUGAGUGGGUUUAAAGGGUGCGCAGGCGGGCUGUCAAGUCAGCGGUAAAAGCCCGGGGCUCAACCCCGGCCCGCCGUUGAAACUGGCCGUCUCGAGUUGGAGAGAGGUAUGCGGAAUGCGCGGUGUAGCGGUGAAAUGCAUAGAUAUCGCGCAGAACCCCGAUUGCGAAGGCAGCAUGCCGGCU
This 398-nucleotide ribosomal RNA is filed under the name uncultured bacterium. RNAcentral describes it as "partial 16S ribosomal RNA". It matches the Rfam family "Bacterial small subunit ribosomal RNA", at positions 338 to 734 of the family's 1533-position model. The record is from RNAcentral.